RNAcentral lists this ribosomal RNA (260 nucleotides) under uncultured bacterium. RNAcentral's name for it is "partial 16S ribosomal RNA". The record is from RNAcentral.
CUGCUGCCUCCCGUAGGAGUUUGGGCCGUGUCUCAGUCCCAAUGUGGCCGGUCACCCUCUCAGGUCGGCUACUGAUCGUCGCUUUGGUGGGCCGUUACCCCGCCAACUGGCUAAUCAGACGCGGGCCCAUCCCAUACCACCGGAGUUUUUCACACCGGGCCAUGCGGCCCUGUGCGCUUAUGCGGUGUUAGCAGUCAUUUCUAACUGUUAUCCCCCUGUAUGGGGCAGGUUGCCCACGCGUUACUCACCCGUCCGCCACU